CUACGGGUCGCUGCAGUGAGGAAUUUUGCGCAAUGGGGGGAACCCUGACGCAGCAACGCCGCGUGAGUGAUGAAGGCUUUCGGGUCGUAAAGCUCUGUCAAGUGGGAAGAACCUAUGCAGUGUUAAUAUCACUGUAUACUGACGGUACCACUGAAGGAAGCACCGGGUAACUCCGUGCCAGCAGCCGCGGUAAUACGGGGGGUGCAAGCGUUAUUCGGAAUCAUUGGGCGUAAAGGGCACGUAGGCGGCUUGGUAAGUCAGAUGUGAAAGCCCGGGGCUUAACCCCGGAAGUGCAUUUGAUACUGUCAGGCUUGAGUAUGGGAGAGGGAAGUGGAAUUCCUGGUGUAGAGGUGAAAUUCGUAGAUAUCAGGAGGAACACCGGUGGCGAAGGCGACUUCCUGGACCAAUACUGACGCUGAGGUGCGAAGGCGUGGGUAGCAAACAGGAUUAGAUACCCUCGUAGUC
This 465-nucleotide ribosomal RNA is filed under the name uncultured bacterium. RNAcentral's name for it is "partial 16S ribosomal RNA". It matches the Rfam family "Bacterial small subunit ribosomal RNA", at positions 339 to 795 of the family's 1533-position model. The record is from RNAcentral.